This 772-nucleotide ribosomal RNA is filed under the name Priestia megaterium. RNAcentral describes it as "bacterial SSU rRNA". It matches the Rfam family "Bacterial small subunit ribosomal RNA", at positions 41 to 791 of the family's 1533-position model. Lineage: Bacteria; Bacillati; Bacillota; Bacilli; Caryophanales; Bacillaceae. The record is from RNAcentral.
GGGGGGCUGCUAAUACAUGCAAGUCGAGCGAACUGAUUAGAAGCUUGCUUCUAUGACGUUAGCGGCGGACGGGUGAGUAACACGUGGGCAACCUGCCUGUAAGACUGGGAUAACUUCGGGAAACCGAAGCUAAUACCGGAUAGGAUCUUCUCCUUCAUGGGAGAUGAUUGAAAGAUGGUUUCGGCUAUCACUUACAGAUGGGCCCGCGGUGCAUUAGCUAGUUGGUGAGGUAACGGCUCACCAAGGCAACGAUGCAUAGCCGACCUGAGAGGGUGAUCGGCCACACUGGGACUGAGACACGGCCCAGACUCCUACGGGAGGCAGCAGUAGGGAAUCUUCCGCAAUGGACGAAAGUCUGACGGAGCAACGCCGCGUGAGUGAUGAAGGCUUUCGGGUCGUAAAACUCUGUUGUUAGGGAAGAACAAGUACGAGAGUAACUGCUCGUACCUUGACGGUACCUAACCAGAAAGCCACGGCUAACUACGUGCCAGCAGCCGCGGUAAUACGUAGGUGGCAAGCGUUAUCCGGAAUUAUUGGGCGUAAAGCGCGCGCAGGCGGUUUCUUAAGUCUGAUGUGAAAGCCCACGGCUCAACCGUGGAGGGUCAUUGGAAACUGGGGAACUUGAGUGCAGAAGAGAAAAGCGGAAUUCCACGUGUAGCGGUGAAAUGCGUAGAGAUGUGGAGGAACACCAGUGGCGAAGGCGGCUUUUUGGUCUGUAACUGACGCUGAGGCGCGAAAGCGUGGGGGAGCAAACAGGAUUAGAUACCCUGGU